AUGGAGGCUUUAAGAGCAGUCUCAGCGGAGCAUCUGGGUCUCUCCACAGUGCAGCCAUGCUGGUCCGAUGAAAUGGAAGCAUCCGUAUAUUGGGAAGAUGCAAUCUGGUUUCUUAUUUCACUGGUCCUCAAGAGAGAUCUCAAGAUAGCAGUGAACGUUCUCCCCAUCAAGCCUGUGUGUGCCAACUCUGUACUUCCUUUUUUAAUUUUGGAGACACCUCUGCUACAUUCAAAGCUGAAUUUUCUCUGAAGGUUCUUGUCUGAUUCACCUGAACUUUCUCAAAAGCAGGUAAUUAAAAUGCUUAGUUCUAAGAAUUAGCUGUCUCUGGUCAAAUGAAUGAUGAUCUACUGAAAUGCUGCUUACCCAAAACCCAAGACCAUGGCUAUCUGCAUUUAAAA
Molecule: long non-coding RNA, 398 nt
Filed under: Apteryx owenii (little spotted kiwi)
Lineage: Eukaryota; Metazoa; Chordata; Aves; Apterygiformes; Apterygidae
Description: lncRNA (ENSAOWG00000017430.1)
Source: RNAcentral